UGCAACGCAAUCUUCUAAGGAUUUUAUGUGAACGAGAUUACCAGCAGUUAUCAGCAUGUAUAACUGAGUACACUGUAAAAAAAAUCAGUAAAAUAUACAGCAAAAGACUGUCAAAUAGCAACAGUAAAGCACCGUAAAACCAAAAAUUUUCUUUUACUGUAUUAAAUAAGUUAAAUAACAGUUUAUUGAGAGACUGGAAAAAACUUUGAUUUUUACAGUUUUUUGUAUUUUUAAUAACGUUUUACCGUGAAAAUGAGCAAAUAUCCAUAAAGUUUAAAAGAAAAUACUGUAAUGUAAAAAAAAUCUGAAGACCUUAAAUUUUACAGUAUUAUUUGGGUAAACAUCAGUUUAUAGAGUUUUGCACAUUCAAAUUUACAGAAUAAACCUGUUGAUUGUGAAGCAAAAAGAAACCUUCAUUUUUACAGUAACAAAAUGUAAAACAAAACAAAAAAACAAAAUUCAGUCCACUGUGAAAUUGCAUGCAGUAAAGAAAAGGAGGGAUAUCAGCAGUAAAAGACACAAAAUUAGAGUGGUAUCUUAUCACAAGAAAAACAUCCAAUUUCCACAAAUGGCAAAAUAGUGACAUGGAUAAAGAUAACAUCACUUUUCUUUUUACUGCUACUCAAUUUAGUGUUUCUAUAAAAUAUUUUUUCUCAAACUUUCUACAGUACUGAUAAUUCACUUUUGCAUAGUGCUGUACCAGUAUUUUAAUGCUACUGUACAGACUUUUUUGUUGAUUUAUUCUAAUUUUAUGUAGCUAGAUAUCAGCUAUAUAAAUAUUUAGAUAUAUCUGACCAUUUACUGUUGUACUUUAUGUGUUUAUUGCACCUUUUGGGGCUAAUAAAGUGAAAAGGAGUACAAUGUUCAAAAUGUCUCGUCUUUCUAAUUCUGUCUGAAAACCCCUCUUUAACAUCCAUUUUCUCAAAAACUGCAAGUGCGGUAGUCUAAUGGAUGGGGGCUGCACUGCACAAGCGUGUACCGUGUAGCCUGUCGAAAUAGAUUUGAAGAAGAAGAAGAAGAAGAAAAAACAACAUUUUGCAUAUUUCACUGUGGAAGUUGCUUAGCACUCGAAAUUUGAAUGCAUAAAGUGAUUUUCUUUUAGCACCCUGUACUCUCUUUAAAAAAAACUUUUAUCCACCUGAUGGAGUUAUGGAUCACUUUGACCCAGCUUCACCUGACCGCCAAAUUUGAACUCACUGCCAGCGCCAUUUCAGAGCGUCUUCGGAGAUUUUCAACACUGUGGCUGUUUAAAACUGAUUUGCAACGUGAGUACAACGUUUUCCAGUCUUGAAUGUGCUAAGUUGGCAAAAUAGCUGUUGCAUGAAAACAUGCUGAGCUGUAAUUUCUGUGGCAAGGCAGUGCAAUCAUUACGGGGCUAUGUGCUUGAUUGUAAACUUCAUAGGAAUGAGCCACGUUGUUUGUUUAAGUGCGUUGAGGCUGACUGGAUGGCAACACAACUAAGACCUGAGAAUCUCCUUAGCACUGAAUUUGAACUGCAGUCUUAAGGAAAUAAUUCAAAGGCCCAGUGACUCUCAGAAAAUGGAGAGUGGCAGGCAAACCAGUGUCAAGAAGAUGACAGCCAAAAAAAUGUGCUGAAGAUGGAAUCAACCCUUGGCUGGAUAAUUUUGAGAGGAUCCUACCAGUUCAAAGUGAACACCUGAUGGACAACUUUCAAGUCCUCCAGCAGAGCUUGUAUGCACAUCAUCAUGUGCAUUUGAAACUCCACUCCAUGUGAGUGCUUUCCUAAACCAAGGCCGGACUCAGCGACUCAUUACUCUUGAUCAGUCAGGGGCAAGUGACUUAUUUGUUUCAGUUUAUUCAUUCCACCUUGGACAACCAGUCAUUUAUAUGGACAUUCUGUAUUCUCAAGAUCUGCGCUACUUUGUGGGUAUACAGACAAUUAAUAUGAUCUGUUCAGUCUGUAAUACUGAUGUUAUGAAACAUUUCUUGCUAAUUCUUAGUGAUAAUCUGUAAUGUAAAAUCUACGGUAUACCACUUGUGUUUCUCAUGUAUUGCACUGCAUUUUUAAUGGUAAAAUACCGGCAGCUGUGGUUGCCAGGAAUUUACCGUGAAAUUUAACUGGUCAAAAUAAAAUGUUGUAAUUUAUUUUACAAUUUUACCGUAUUUUUCAUUGACAUAGACUUUAAU
Molecule: long non-coding RNA, 2148 nt
Organism: Thalassophryne amazonica
Lineage: Eukaryota; Metazoa; Chordata; Actinopteri; Batrachoidiformes; Batrachoididae
Exons: 4
Source: RefSeq, a predicted model, not a curated record